This 1671-nucleotide long non-coding RNA is filed under the name Homo sapiens (human). Its description in RNAcentral is "HSALNT0183237". Lineage: Eukaryota; Metazoa; Chordata; Mammalia; Primates; Hominidae. The record is from RNAcentral.
GUUUUUUAGGAAAUUGAUCUCCACUACAGCAAAACCACCCCAGGAAGAGCUCCUCAUUGGUGAAGAUGAAUGAGCAGUGCCUCCCAAACUGUAAUGUGCAUAUGAAUCACCCGGGGAUCCUGUUACAAUGCAGUCUGCUGCAGUAGGUCUGAGGUCUGGCCAGACAUUCCACAUUUCUAACAAGCUCCCACGUGGUGCUGAUGCCGCAGGUCAGAGGACUUCACUGUGAGUAGCAAGGCAGCGCUGGACUAACUUGGUUGAACUCAUGAGUGAUUAUAACAAGGAACAACAGGUGAGCAAGACUCUCAACAGCAGCAGUGGCCACCCUGCAGCCCUUGUGCACAGCCCACGGCCCCUGAAGAAAAAGCGUUUUCUCUUUGGAUAAAAAUAGGCCACCAAACCCAAAACCACAACUGAUGAAAGAGUUAUAGUAUCAGUAAUUUUACAAAUCAAAUGGAGCUGAUGGAGUUAUCAUUUUAGAAUUGGUAUUUCCUGCUGUUUAACAAAUACUUUUUUCUCAGUUGCAUGGCAGUGGUCUAAAGUAAGAAGGAAAAUGGACUUGAGAUUAAAAACAAAAACUUACCCAAAAGGUGAUAAAGAAAUCCUGCAAUAGAAUGCAUUGAUUUCAGUGACCCAGCACCCUUUUAAGUUUGCCUGAAGAAAAUACUACUUUAAAAGUUGGUAACAGAGACCUUUAACGGUGGGUGAGGAGUCACAUACAAAGUGUCACGGCCAGAUAAAAUCACCGGAUGCAGAGGAAUUGCCAUCGACAUCUCCUGCCACUGAGUCCAGCUCUACCGUGGGGACAAGAAAUACCUCCCUAACUCUGAGACAACCGCGGCCCACACCCACACCAUGUCUCAACAACAGACUUAGGAACUUGUAGAUCUUUGGACAACUGCAGGUCAGUCCCAAGACAGAGAAAAACACCAAACAGGCUAGUUUGGCUAGCAAGAUUCAAACCUGUAGCAAUUUCCUCUCUAUUAAAAGCAAUUCAUUAAACUACUAGCAGGAGAAAAAAGUAAAACAAUAGAUUUACUAGGAGUGAAAGAGAAUAAAAAGAAAUUUAUAUAUUUAACUACAGCUUUAUUUCUUUGGAAGUGCUCCAAUUUGCAAAAAAAAAAAAAAAAAAUCAGGGUUUCUGACAAGUAAUCUACGGGUAUCUAAAACGUGCAUGGUUUUACUUUUGUGAAGCAGGGAACAUUUUUAAAAACAUAGUCUUGCUUUCAGACUAUUCUGACGAGGUUAGGAAGUAUUUUUGAAAAUUGUUAAACAAUUAAAUGGGAAUAUAGAAAGACGUGAAAAGAGAAAGAGAAAACUCACUUGUAUCCUGAAUCUCCCUACCGACUUACUCUUUAAUUCCACAGAAAUUUUUUUAAAGCAGGAAAAGGAAAAUGGACUGAAAAGUUUUAGGCAGAAACUGACACACACCUCACUUACUACUUUGCCGGAGAGCAGAUCCUGAGUGAGCUUCCCUCAAAGUCUGUGGUCUCUUUCCAACUACCUGCGGGAAUCCUCUGCUCCGUAGCUUAAGAGGAUGCAAAGACCAUAAUGUUUCUAAUAGAGCUGCCUCCUUAAAUUGGGGGGUGUGGUCAAGCCAGGGAAAGCUGGAAAAAAGGCAGUCUUCCUCUUGCCCCUGGCACCAGGACAGCAGCCACUGGCACAGGCACA